CGAACGGGUGAGUAACACGUGGGCAACCUGCCCAAAAGAGGGGGAUAACACUUGGAAACAGGUGCUAAUACCGCAUAACCAUAGUUACCGCAUGGUAACUAUGUAAAAGGUGGCUAUGCUACCGCUUCUGGAUGGGCCCGCGACGCAUUAGCUAGUUGGUGGGGUAAAGGCUUACCAAGGCAAUGAUGCGUAGCCGAACUGAGAGGUUGAUCGGCCACAUUGGGACUGAGACACGGCCCAAACUCCUACGGAAGGCAGCAG
RNAcentral lists this ribosomal RNA (261 nucleotides) under uncultured bacterium. Its description in RNAcentral is "partial 16S ribosomal RNA". It matches the Rfam family "Bacterial small subunit ribosomal RNA", at positions 99 to 354 of the family's 1533-position model. The record is from RNAcentral.